RNAcentral lists this long non-coding RNA (4696 nucleotides) under Marmota monax (woodchuck). Lineage: Eukaryota; Metazoa; Chordata; Mammalia; Rodentia; Sciuridae. The record is from RNAcentral.
CUGGGAGGUGAGCGCGUUCCUGGCGCGGAGGCGGAGGCGGAGGUGGAGGCGGAGGUGAGUUGGCUGUCUUCGUGGAGGCUCCGGCCCUCCGGAGGCCUGAGCGCAACAUUACCACAGCCAAAUCGGCCCGGUGUCCGUCGCCGGUUCGUUUGCCCGGUUCUGGACCUGGAGCCCGUUUGUCGCUUGGGAAGCAGAGCCCGCAGAAGGUGUGCCCCGCACCGCUUCGCCGGAAACGAGUGGGCUUCAGUACAUACUGAGGACGAGCACGUGUACCAUGCGGCGGGGCGGGCGACACAACCACGAAGUGAUGUGGAUGGAGUGAGUCCCAGGCCGCGGGCCAGGCGUCAGGUGAAGUUUGAGCACCGACGGAGCUUGAAGCGUUGGCCUGGCCGGCGCUCGACCACUUGGACACACGCUGCUUGGAAUGUGGCCGGUGCUCACUGGGGUGUGUUUGGGGGUGAAAUGCAUACGGGACUCCAGUGGCUUGGUGUGAAAAUAAUAACUUUUACGUUGAUUGCAUGUUGAAUGAUAAUAUUUGGAUAUACUGGAGGCGAUAGAAUGUGUUGUUAAAAUCAUUUUGGGUUGUUUUUUUUUUUUUUUUUUCCUGAAGAUUGUGUCUAGGAACGCGCUACCACUGAGCUCGUCCUGAGCUCUCUUUGUUGCCAAUAGCUUGGACCUUUUCCUCGAUGCCAAUCCAAUAAGGAGGACACAGUUUUGAGAAAAAAGAGAAACACAGGAAGAUUCCUGUCCCAAAGGCUAUGAUUCUGCCUAUCUGCAGGAACCAGGGGACUUUUAUAGAGGUGAUUCAGAGAAAAUGAGACUAGGGAGGAGAGAUCAGGAAGGAGAAGAUGGGGUAGGGGAAGAAGUUUAAGGAAAAGAAGAUUGGGUAAAAGAAAAAAAAAAGUGUUUCAAAGCCACAUGAGAUAUGGUCAAAGCAUCUCAUCAAGUGAACGUGUUACAUAUUUAUUUUUAUUUUGACACAGUCUGGGUAGGAUUAUAGUCAUGCAACCUUUUUUUUUUAAUGUCACUACCAGAAAAGUUGAAAUUGCAUAUGGGUUUGCAUUAUGUUUAUGUGGCCUUAAACCAAAAUUGGGGGUGGGGGAGACUGGCAUUGCAGGCUGAAGUUUUGUUUGUUUUCCCCUGUAGAUGAGUUUUAGUACAACAUUUAGGAGCUUCUGGAAACACCAUCAGUUUUAUUUCGAAACUAAUUACAUUGUAUUCUUUUCAGGCCAGCUGCUUGGUAGGAAAAAAACAAUACCAUUGAACUACACCCUCAGCUCCUGAUUAUAUUUUCUGAUUAAUGAAAGCUGGAGAGGCUGAGGCAGGAGGAUCUCAAGGUCAAAACCUGCCUCAGCAACUUCUGGAGGCCCUACUUAGUGAGAUCCUGUCACAAAAUUGAAAAGUAGAAAGGGCUAGGGAUUUGGUACAGUGGUUAAGUGCCUCUGAGUUCAGUUUCUGGUGCCAUGCCUCUUCAUAUACUGAUGAGUAUAAUCAAUUUAGUACUUGUUCCAUGCUAGGUGUCCCACUAAGGUACUUUACAUGCAUAACCUCAAUCAUUCCAACCAUGUCCUCAGGGGUACACAGCAGCCUGAAAGGCUCUAUUAACUCUCAUAACACUCAACUUUUAUACUUGCUAAUAGCAAAUCCUUCUACAAUUCUGCAUGCCCUGCAACAUCUACCUGACCACAUUUUUAUUAUAUCUGUAUCCACUUUUAGCUUGUAGGAUAUUGCCAAGUAUGGCCUGUGCCUUAUCCACAGCAACAGCCUCAACACCUCACACAGGAGGCCUUCCAUAAAUGCUUGAAAAAUGGAUGACAACCGCAGGAACUCAAGGUAUCCCCUUUUGCCAUGGUGAUAGAAACUCCCAGGAAUCUCCACCCAGCAAUCUCAAUGGAUCCUUGAUGACCCCUUUCAAACAACUACUAGGUGCUCAGGGAUCCUUUGUGGCAUAGCUAUAAGAACUCUCCUGGGCUUAAUUUCUCUACACAACCUCAAGGAAUUUCCAGAGAUCUGUAAAAUGAUGACUUCUAAAAGACCCUUUACUUAUAGCCUCAGGAACUCUCCUGGAAUCCUCUGCUAGUGGAAUUCAGGACAGCCCCAGAGAUGAACUCCAAAAACCUGUUCUUUACAGCUCAGUCUGACUUAUUGCAAGAAUCAGUGAAUGGAGCUGGGCAAAGUGAUGCGUGUCUGUCAUUCCAGCUACUGGGGAGGCUGAGACAAGGAUCGCAAGUUUGAGGCCCAUCUGGGCAAAUUAGCAAGACCCUGUCUCAAAAAUUUUUAAGAGGGCUAGGAUGUAAUUUAGAGGAAGAACAUUCCUAGGUUCAAUUCUUGGUAUUGCAAAAAGAAAAAAAAAAUCAGUAAGGACAGAAAUUAAAAUGAUGGAAGCAGAAAGGAAGGGAAAACAAAGUUUGCCCGAAAAAAUUGACAGUGACUAGUCAGAUUCAGUCCUUCCCCAUAGUUUACUGUAGGUGUCCUAACUGCUGUCUUGGAAGAAGUAGUAAAACAUUGACUUGAAGGCUUCUAGACUGGCUAAGCAAAAAAUUACUAGUGCCCCCAAAAAGUAUGAAAGGAGGGAGUGAGCCAGUUUGCAGCAUGAAUUUAUGAUUGGUUUUAGACAUGCUGGAUUUGGGUCAUAGAUAUUAAAUCUCAGCCACGCACUAGAUUAGAGAACACAAUUUGGCCAAAAAUUAAACGGGCUUAGAGGGGACGCCAGAGCAGAGUGAGAAGACUGGUGAUCAGAAGCAGGUCAAGGUCAUCACAGUCAAAAAGACAAAGCCAGGAUAGUUCAUUUCCAGAGAUGGAUCUAAGCAAAGGGGACAGAUGAAAUUCAAAAGCGGAGCCUGGUAGAAGGCCAGGUUUGAAAGCCAAAGUGAUAACAGAUGUGGAAUCUGGGAGUAGGGCCUAUGCAGAUAUCAAACAGGACACAUCCCCAAGUCCCAGAGCUACAAAAUGAGCAGAACCCUUUUUAUUCAUUUUUCUUUUUUAAGGACCACAUGGGGAAAUGCUAAUUGGAAGUGCAUAUAGGUGCACAGUGUUGGGGAUGGAACCCAGGGCCUCAUGCACACUAGGCAAGUGCUCUACCACUGAACUAUAUCCCCAGCUCUCUCUUUAAGACAAGAUCUAAGAAAUAACCCAGCUGAUUUCAAAUUUCUGGGUUCAAAUGAUCCUCUCAGCUCAACCUUCCAAGUAGCUAGAACUACAGAUGUGGGAAGUAAUUUUUGUACAACAAACUUACUAGGCUUAUAAUUGCUACUAUUUAAGACAAAUGCAAACUAAUGUACCAUUUCACACUUAACAGACUGGCAAAAAUUUAAAAUCUAUCAAUGUCAAAAUUGAUGAGAACAAGCUGGGUGCAGUGGCACAUGCCUGUAAUCUCAGCAGCUCAGGAGGCUGAGGCAGGAGGAUGGUGAAUUCAAAACCAGUCUCAGCAAAAACAAAGCACUAAGCAACUCAGGGAGACCCUGUGUCUAAAUAAAAUACAAAAUAGGGCUGGGGAUAUGGCUCAGUAAGUAAUUGAGAGCCCCCAAGUUCAAUCCCCAGUACCCCCCCACAAAAAAAUGAUGAUCCCAUGGGUUUUGUGAAAAGAGCUUUCAUGCCUUGCUAGAAGAGGUAUAAAUGGUUUGAUAUUAUUGAGUGAUCAUUUAGAAAUUUCUAGUAAAGAUAUUCAGCAAUUCCCACUGGGCAUUUGCCAUGGAGCAACUUGCCAAGAUGUGCAGACAAGAAUAUUUGUUGUGCCAUUGCUUCUAGUGAUGGUGGGGGGUUAGAGGGAAAAGCAUUCAAAGUGUGAUCUACAGGAGAAUUGACAAAUUGCAGUUAUCCAAUAGAAUACCAUAUGGUAGUAAAAAAGGAAUAAAUUGAUUUUGCAUACAUCUGUGUUAAUUUCACAAAUCAUUGAGAAAAGUUUCUUAUGAAUGCAUAUGAUAUAAUACCAGCUAAUUCUCUUGUUAAUUUUUAGUUGUCAAAACUGUGAUGAGCUACAUCAUAGGCAUCAGGCAAACCCAAGAGAUGGCCCUCCAGACAGAUGUCAGUGGAGCCUUCGCAGCACUGCAUACUGUCUUCAGGGGGGCAGUGCAUAAUCCUAGGAGAAAAAGUGGCCCUGGGCUGAGGGCAGUUGCCAAGGAAGGUAACUUCCCUUCUUGUCUGCCAGGACCCAUGGUUGCUGUGCCCUUCUCAGGCAUGGCUAUUGUACUGGUCCACCUGCCAUUGGAGUUGGGCAGCAGAGCACCAAGAGACACCCAGUGAGUCACUCUACUAGACUGGCCAUCUAGAACAGCAGAGGUGCUAGCCGGGUUGUGGGAUCUGCGUAGCUCCAAGAACGCUCCAGACUUCUUGUCAGUUCCCCUAGGAAAGGGCAUCAACCAGAGUCCUGGAGCUGCUCUUCCCAGAUGGGUGGACAUAAAUGAAGCCAAGGGAAGCCUAUCAUGGGUGCAGCCCAGACCUCCCCUUUAGGACUGAGGCUUUCUCGCCCAGCUGCUGCUGAUUUGUGGAGAAAGUUUCUACCUUGGCCUUGUCUUUGUGACUGUUGCUCAUGACAUCGACCUGUUCCUUACCAUCAGUCUUCUGACUUGUACUGGCCUCCCUUCUAGCCCUUGUGUCAUUUGUGGACAAAAUAUGUUUUCUAAUCUACAGCAUGGCUAAGAUCUAACAUCUAUGGCUUCACAUUCAUUUGUGUACCAAAAUCAAUCAUAAAUUUGUC